AGGACUUUACGUCUGGCUCCCUCCUUAGAGUCGGUCCAGGUCCAGGCUUGCUGGAUGCUGACGACCGUAGGACGGGUGAGUAAUGCAUUAGAAUCUACCCAGUAGUGGGGGAUAACCUGGGGAAACCCAGGCUAAUACCGCAUACGUCCUACGGGAGAAAGGGGGCUUUGGCUCCCGCUAUCGGAUGAGCCUAUGCCGGAUUAGCUGGUUGGUGAGGUAACGGCUCACCAAGGCGACGAUCCGUAGCUGGUCUGAGAGGAUGAUCAGCCACAUCGGGACUGAGACACGGCCCGAACUCCUACGGGAGGCAGCAGUGGGGAAUAUUGGACAAUGGGGGCAACCCUGAUCCAGCCAUGCCGCGUGUGUGAAGAAGGCCCUCGGGUUGUAAAGCACUUUCAGCGAGGAAGAACGCCUGGUGGUUAAUACCCGCCAGGAAAGACAUCACUCGCAGAAGAAGCACCGGCUAACUCCGUGCCAGCAGCCGCGGUAAUACGGAGGGUGCAAGCGUUAAUCGGAAUUACUGGGCGUAAAGCGCGCGUAGGUGGCUUGAUAAGCCGGUUGUGAAAGCCCCGGGCUCAACCUGGGAACGGCAUCCGGAACUAUCAGGCUAGAGUGCAGGAGAGGAAGGUAGAAUUCCCGGUGUAGCGGUGAAAUGCGUAGAGAUCGGGAGGAAUACCAGUGGCGAAGGCGGCCUUCUGGACUGACACUGACACUGAGGUGCGAAAGCGUGGGUAGCAAACAGGAUUAGAUACCCUGGUAGUCCACGCCGUAACGAUGUCGACCAGCCGUUGGGUGCCUAGCGCACUUUGUGGCGAAGUUAACGCGAUAAGUCGACCGCCUGGGGAGUACGGCCCGCAAGGUUAAAACUCAAUGAAUUUGACGGGGGCCCGCACAAGCGGUGGAGCAUGUGGUUUAAUUCGAUGCAACGCGAGAACCUUACCUACCCUUGACAUCCUGCGAACUUGUGAGAGAUACCUUGGGUGCUUUCGGAGCGCAAGACCAGUGCUGCAUGGCUGUCGUCAGCUCGUGUUGUGAAAUGUUGGGUUAAGUCCCGUAACGAGCGUCAACCUUGUCCUUUAUUUGCCAGCAGUAAUGUGGGAACUCUUAAGGGAACUGCUGGUGGAUAAAUCCGGUAGUGAAGGUGGGGGACAACGUCCAGUUCAUUACUAUGGUUGC
Molecule: ribosomal RNA, 1176 nt
Filed under: Halomonas sp. HL74
Lineage: Bacteria; Pseudomonadati; Pseudomonadota; Gammaproteobacteria; Oceanospirillales; Halomonadaceae
Description: bacterial SSU rRNA
Rfam family: Bacterial small subunit ribosomal RNA
Source: RNAcentral